AUUGAACGCUGGCGGAAUGCUUUACACAUGCAAGUCGAACGGCAGCACGGGGGCAACCCUGGUGGCGAGUGGCGAACGGGUGAGUAAUACAUCGGAACGUGCCCAGUCGUGGGGGAUAACGUAGCGAAAGUUACGCUAAUACCGCAUACGAUCUACGGAUGAAAGUGGGGGACCGUAAGGCCUCGCGCGAUUGGAGCGGCCGAUGACAGAUUAGGUAGUUGGUGAGGUAAAGGCUCACCAAGCCGAGGAUCUGUAGCUGGUCUGAGAGGACGACCAGCCACGCUGGGACUGAGACACGGCCCAGACUCCGACGGGAGGCAGCGGUGGGGAAUUUUGGACAAGGGGCGCAAGCCUGAUCCAGCCAUUCCGCGUGCAGGACGAAGGCCUUCGGGUUGUAAACUGCUUUUGUACGGAACGAAAAGGCUCUGGUUAAUACCUGGGGCUCAUGACGGUACCGUAAGAAUAAGCACCGGCUAACUACGUGCCAGCCGCCGCCGUAA
RNAcentral lists this ribosomal RNA (500 nucleotides) under uncultured bacterium. RNAcentral describes it as "partial 16S ribosomal RNA". It matches the Rfam family "Bacterial small subunit ribosomal RNA", at positions 29 to 523 of the family's 1533-position model. The record is from RNAcentral.